UACGGGGGGGGCAAGCGUUGUUCGGAAUUACUGGGCGUAAAGGGCUCGUAGGUGGCCAACUAAGUCAGACGUGAAAUCCCUCGGCUUAACCGGGGAACUGCAUCUGAUACUGGAUGGCUUGAGAUUGGGAGAGGGAUGCGGAAUUCCAGGUGUAGCGGUGAAAUGCGUAGAUAUCUGGAGGAACACCGGUGGCGAAGGCGGCAUCCUGGACCAACACUGACACUGAGGAGCGAAAGCCAGGGGAGCAAACGGG
This 253-nucleotide ribosomal RNA is filed under the name uncultured bacterium. RNAcentral's name for it is "partial 16S ribosomal RNA". It matches the Rfam family "Bacterial small subunit ribosomal RNA", at positions 524 to 776 of the family's 1533-position model. The record is from RNAcentral.